RNAcentral lists this ribosomal RNA (245 nucleotides) under uncultured bacterium. RNAcentral describes it as "partial 16S ribosomal RNA". It matches the Rfam family "Bacterial small subunit ribosomal RNA", at positions 133 to 380 of the family's 1533-position model. The record is from RNAcentral.
AGAGUGGGGGAUAACGCAGCGAAAGCUGUGCUAAUACCGCAUACGAUCUAAGGAUGAAAGCAGGGGACCGCAAGGCCUCGCGCUCAUGGAGCGGCCGAUGUCAGAUUAGGUAGUUGGUGGGAUAAAAGCUUACCAAGCCGACGAUCUGUAGCUGGUCUGAGAGGACGACCAGCCACACUGGGACUGAGACACGGCCCAGACUCCUACGGGAGGCAGCAGUGGGGAAUUUUGGACAAUGGGCGAAA